RNAcentral lists this ribosomal RNA (254 nucleotides) under uncultured bacterium. RNAcentral's name for it is "partial 16S ribosomal RNA". It matches the Rfam family "Bacterial small subunit ribosomal RNA", at positions 524 to 776 of the family's 1533-position model. The record is from RNAcentral.
UACGAAGGGGGCUAGCGUUGUUCGGAAUUACUGGGCGUAAAGCGCGCGCAGGCGGUUCUCCAAGUCAGUGGUGAAAGCCCCGGAGCUCAACUCCGGAACUGCCAUUGAAACUGUUGAACUUGAGGACGAGAGAGGUGAGUGGAAUUCCCAGUGUAGAGGUGAAAUUCGUAGAUAUUGGGAAGAACACCAGUGGCGAAGGCGGCUCACUGGCUCGUAUCUGACGCUCAGGCGCGAUAGCGUGGGGAUCAAACAGG